GACGAACGCUGGCGGCGUGCCUAACACAUGCAAGUUGAGCGACGAACCAGGGCUUGCCCUGGGGCAAAGCAGCGAACGGGUGAGUAACACGUGGGUAACCUACCCCGAUAACCGGGACAACCCGAGGAAACUCGGGCUAAUACCGGAUGUGCUCACUGGACUUCGGUUCAGUGCGUAAAGGAAGCUUCGGCCUCCGGAUCGGGAGGGGCCCGCGGCCCAUUAGUUUGUUGGUGAGGUAACGGCUCACCAAGACCGCGAUGGGUAGCUGGUCUGAGAGGACGAUCAGCCACACUGGGACUGAGACACGGCCCAGACUCCUACGGGAGGCAGCAGUGGGGAAUCUUGCGCAAUGGGCGAAAGCGUGACGCAGCAACGCCGCGUGGGGGACGAAGGCCUUCGGGUUGUAAACCCCUUUCAGGAGGGACGAAGGUCCGGCGGUGAAUAGCCGUCCGGACUGACGGUACCUCCACAAGAAGCCCCGGCUAACUACGUG
This 493-nucleotide ribosomal RNA is filed under the name uncultured bacterium. RNAcentral's name for it is "partial 16S ribosomal RNA". It matches the Rfam family "Bacterial small subunit ribosomal RNA", at positions 28 to 507 of the family's 1533-position model. The record is from RNAcentral.